RNAcentral lists this non-coding RNA (23 nucleotides) under Arabidopsis thaliana (thale cress). The record is from RNAcentral. Lineage: Eukaryota; Viridiplantae; Streptophyta; Magnoliopsida; Brassicales; Brassicaceae.
CACAUUCUCGGACACUCAUUCUC